RNAcentral lists this long non-coding RNA (608 nucleotides) under Homo sapiens (human). Its description in RNAcentral is "non-protein coding lnc-POFUT2-12:2". Lineage: Eukaryota; Metazoa; Chordata; Mammalia; Primates; Hominidae. The record is from RNAcentral.
GCGGCCGCCGCCGCGGCACUGCUACGGGACGAGCCGGAGCGCUUGGCCAUGGCGGCCCGAUCCGCACUGGCGCUGCUGCUGCUGCUGCCAGUCCUGCUCCUGCCGGUGCAGAGCCGCUCAGAGCCCGAGACCACCGCGCCCACCCCUACCCCAAUCCCGGGUGGCAACUCGUCAGUGAGCAGGCCCCUGCCCAGCAUCGAGCUCCACGCCUGCGGCCCAUACCCCAAACCAGGCCUGCUCAUCCUGCUGGCCCCGCUGGCCCUGUGGCCCAUUCUCCUGUAGGGACGCCCAGCCAGCCACCUCUAAGUCGCCGCUGGGACUGGCCUGCCCCAUUGAGCAACAGAGACGCUUGACAGCCGCCCGCCUCCAUUCCUUGACUUCACCCAGAAAUGGGUCCAGAAAACUGAAUCCCACCAGCACUGGUUUGGAGCAACCGGACACCGAGGUUUCACCUCCAGGGAUUCCAUGAAGAGCCUCAAUGGAGAUGCCACAUCCUACUGAGUUAAAGAUGGGCUGAGGAACUUGGGUACCCACAAGUCUGCCUUGGGAAUCAAAAGAAAAUAUUUACCUUUAGUUUGGUUCAUUAAAUGCAUGAAGUCAAAAUAUGA